Acanthopagrus latus (yellowfin seabream) is the source of this 2295-nucleotide long non-coding RNA. RefSeq lists it as uncharacterized. The record is from RefSeq and is a predicted model, not a curated record. NCBI's taxonomy places the organism in Eukaryota, Metazoa, Chordata, Actinopteri, Spariformes, Sparidae. The transcript has 2 exons.
CAGCAUCGAGGGUUAAACUGCUGUCACUCCACCCAUAUUAACCAUUUGGCCUGCAGUGGAUGAUCUGCUCCUCACCCCUUUCUCAGGGGGAUGGGUGCAUGACCAGUUUACAGGCCUUGGUGUGACUUAUUUGCCAUCACUAUGGUCCCGACACAACAAAUAUCGGACGGAUUGCAGACAUUCAUGGUUCUGAGAUGAUCGCUGCUCAUGACUAUAGCGCCAUGAGGUUGACAUUACAACUGUUGGAAGGAUCAGAGCAAGGACACCUGACCUGAACCUCUUGGACAGCACGGGUUGGGCAGCUUUGGACAGAGAUUUUGCAGUGAUGUCCGGGUUUGGGCGUAUAAUAAUUUAAAUAAUACUGAAUUAGUGAUGUUGCUAAGAUUCAGUUGUGUAGAUGGUCCUUGUUUUCUGCUAAUCACUAGCAUUCACCAUCGGCUCAGAGCUUCACAUAAAUUCAUGCUAGCCCCCCUCCCUGUGGCCAUUUUGAUGAUCCAGUAUGAGUCACUUGUGCAGCAACAGAGAUGUGAUCCCUCACUGUGGAUGUCUCGAGGAGAACUGGCUACGAAGACGGUGGCUUUUCUAAUGCUUCCGCUCUGUUGGGCCCACAAGCACACGCACAUCCGAUACAUCCACCGGCCCGAGCCAGCCAACUUCCUGUUGGUUCACAUGACUGGGAUAAAAUGAUCUUAUUAAACGAAGACAGCUGCUCCUUUUCCAAUGAUUUUGUAUGGGUUUUUGGAAUUAUUUUGCAUCAUCCAAGGAGUACACAAGUUGCCAUGUUCCUUUUUUUAUAAGUAUUCUGGGGCCUUUUAUAGUUUUAUUGAUAGGACAGCUCAGAGAUGACAUGAAACAGGAUGAGAGAGGUGGGAGGUGACAAGCAGCAAAUAGCCACAGGUCAGACUCAAACAAGGACAACACCUUUGCACCGCUGUAUCAACUGAGCUAAUGGAUGCCCUGAAGUUGCCAUGUUCUGCACCGCCACUAUCCUCGCCAGGGAUAAUUUUUUGAGGACCGCAAAAACACAGCCAGGUUAGUUGUUCUUAUUUGGUCAUUUCUGCUCAACAAAUAUAUGAAUUAAUUAUUGUUCAAAAAGACUUGAUUUGUUUUGAUGUUGCGGCUCUAUCAAAAGAGGAACCCUUGAGAAGGGAUGCUUCAGUCUUACUUUUUAUCUAUGUCACUCCUCCCCAUCAUCAUACCCCCGGUUCUCAUCUCAGCUCUGUGCGUGUCUACUUAAGGCAGCAGAUGUGACAUCUGGAGCCCAUGUCCACACUUCUGGGGACAAGGGUGAGAAAAAGACAAAAUGCAGAAGAUAUGUGGAGAGAGUUUCAAAUAAAAGGGGAUAAGGAAAUGUCCAACAGUGACUAGGAGAGAACAAAAACGCUGACUGAACAACUGGAGGGAGAAAUUAGAGCCCAGAUCAGUGUGACUUUGGAUGGACACAGAAUAUAAAUAAAGACAGAGACAAAGAGACAGAACAGCUGGAGAUGAUCUGGAUUGAAGGACGUUCUUUGGAGUUGGGCUGCCAGCGCUGCAACAGCUGAUUAUACUUUCACCUAUCGUCUCGCACAGGAGGCUGUGAGGCUUAGGUCUUUAUGAAGGACUUUAUUGUCUAGACAGGAGCAGCAGGAGCUCCAUUCAGGAUUUGAAUGAGGUCGACUCAGGAGGAAGAGGAGGAAAUUGUCCUAGAUUGAAAAUCGGUACGAAUGGCAGUAUAAAAACAAGUGAAAGGUGAAAAAAGCUGUUAAAACAAACACGUAACAUGUUGUAACGGUAGUGGAAGUGAGUAGACUGCUAAUACCUUUACCGACUGACUUGUACUAAAUGGCAUGGUGAAGUGUAGGGAUUUUAAAUUACCUCCCAGCCGCCUAUGAUAGACAGACUGGGUUUCUUUCACAUAAGUGGGUCAAAUUUGAAGUUUAACAGGACUUUACAGCUGGAUCUCAUUGCAAACACCAGCAGGAAUUAAAUAGGACAUCUGGAAGCCAUUUAGAUAAUAACCAUAAAUGCCACGUAUCUAAUCACCAAACCUACUGUCUUUAAAUAGUGUCUGCUCUAAUAAGGAACUCUUGACUAAUACUCGUCGAGAGAACUCGUGGCUCCAGCACAUGUGGUGCACAUCAGCUAGGAUGAGUGUUGCUGUUACAGUUAGUGUGCAGCUCCGCAACUGCGCUUUCGAUGCCGUAAAAAGAAGCGAUUGUGAAGUACACACUCGAGGAACAACUAUGAAGCGUGCCUCUGAUUUAUCAUCCAGUGUCAGUGCGUUCAUAUAUCACAAAGGACAUUUCAGAGGAU